UCUCCGUAGGUGAACCUGCGGAGGGAUCAUUACAGAGUUCGUGCCCUUACGGGUAGAUCUCCCACCCUGUGUUAUUAUACCUUUGUUGCUUUGGCGGGCCGCCCUCGGCUACCGGCCCCGGCUGGUACGCGCCCGCCAGAGGACCCCAAACUCUGAAUGUUCGUGUCGUCUGAGUACUAUACAAUAGUUAAAACUUUCAACAACGGAUCUCUUGGUUCUG
Molecule: unclassified non-coding RNA, 220 nt
Filed under: plant metagenome
Description: partial contains small subunit ribosomal RNA, internal transcribed spacer 1, and 5.8S ribosomal RNA
Source: RNAcentral